GGACGUUUAGCUCAGUUGGGAGAGCAUCUGCCUUACAAGCAGAGGGUCGGCGGUUCGAGCCCGUCAACGUCCACCA
This 76-nucleotide transfer RNA is filed under the name Alicyclobacillus acidoterrestris. RNAcentral describes it as "tRNA-Val". It matches the Rfam family "tRNA". Rfam says of the family: Transfer RNA (tRNA) molecules are approximately 80 nucleotides in length. RNAcentral also lists the same sequence under 6 other names. Lineage: Bacteria; Bacillati; Bacillota; Bacilli; Caryophanales; Alicyclobacillaceae. The record is from RNAcentral.